AUAUACUUAACAAAUCUCGAGUCUUGACCCCCCAAGAUUUGAGUCGAAUUCGCUCUCUGGGACCAGUAGGGGUCAGGCCAACAACAGCAAACAAAACAAUUGUGGUGUUCAACAUUCUUCUUCUUGUUCAAGAUUUUGACUGGAAAAUUGACAACUUCAAAUCAAACGAUUCCAAUGUAUCAACCGUUAUCAGAUCGGAGUUAAUGCAUAAUCUUGAACAUUUUCUCAUCUGAAGGAGAAAGGCAUUGGGAUCCGUUUAAUGGCUCGGAUCUUCGAGUACUUCGUAGUAUGUGGAAUCGGGCCAGAGAUUCGGACCUUGGAUGGGAACAGAGGGUACCAUGGCGCAGGGGUUAUGUAUUUGCCUUCUCUUCUUGAUCAGUACCCUCCUCCCAAUCACACUCUCUACCCUCCUCCUCCCCCUCAACUCCCUACUUGUGUUCUACCUGCUGGAGUGGAAUUCUACGGGUCGGGUUUUGAUUCAAAUGAUCCAUCUACUUUUCCCAGGAGUUAUCCUAUUGUUUUGACUGAGGGUGAUGGGUCAAAGAUCUAUGUCAGCUGCAUCGCAUUUCGGGAUCCUGUUUGCGAGGAUAUUGCUGAAGCUUACCGCAUUCCUGCAAAUUCAUAUGCUGACAAAUGCAUCUGUCUUGUCUCACGUUCUCCCAGUUUUGGAAUCCUUCGAGAUGCACUGGAGGAGAUUUUUGUGCUUUGUUUUUCCUCCUCUGGAAGCAGCAAGCCAUUGUGGGAUGUUAUAGCAUAUUCAGUCUCCAAUGUACCUUUGCCUACACCUGGAAAGGAUAGGGUGCUAUUUGCUAUUGAGAACAGCCUGCUCUCUGUUGAAGUUCCACCAAAGGAGGGCCUUCCUCAUGCCGAUAUAUCAUUUCAGCCUUUGCUUCAGUGUUUGGAUGUGGACAAUGUAAUCCAGUUAUUUACAGCUGUUUUGCUUGAGAGAAGGAUUUUGCUUCGAUCGAACAUGUAUUCUCUGUUAACACUUGUAUCAGAAGCCAUAUGCCAUUUAAUUUAUCCAUUUCGGUGGCAGCAUGUCUACAUUCCAUUGCUGUUUUUCAGUGGAGUAGACUAUAUUGAUGCUCCUACGCCUUACAUGAUGGGCCUUCACUCUGGCGUGGAUACCUAUGGGCUUACGAUGGAUGGUGUAGUUAUUGUGGACCUUGAGCAUAAUCGCAUUACCACAACUGAGGAGAUUCCUCCCAUACCAGAGCCAGAAUAUAGUUCACUGCGUGGUGAGAUUAUGAAGUUGUUAUAUCCAAAUGUUGUUGGAAUAGACCAAAUGAAGGCUACUCGAGGAAAUGUCUCAGAUCAGUACCCACGAGGUGGCAACAGACCAUGGGGACAAGAACACGACCUCCAAAUUAGAUUUACAUUCUUAAAGUUCUUUGCAUCAAUACUUAGUGGCUACCGCAAUUUCAUAGAAAAUACUGCAACACAGGUCUUCAACUCUCAGGCUUUUCUGAAGAAGCGCUCUCGGUCAACAAACCAGCCACUUGAUCCAAUGAUAAGUCAGUUUUUAGAUUCCCAGGGUUUCUUAGAUUAUUUGGAGAGAGGUCUUGGUUCUGACGAAAACAAUAAUAAUCUCCUAGAUAAGUUGCAAGAUGCAAUUGGCAGGGGUCAAAAUCCUCUUUCAGUUCUUCCUUCACUUAUGGCAGAGGCAGAGAUCAUAACUAUAUCUGAUCCUGGUGUGGGAAUUUCAGGAUCAGGUGCCAAAUACUGUUAUGACAGGUUUCCUGCAAAUGUCAGAACAGAAGAGCAAGAGGAAAAGAGGAAGCAGAUUCUAGCAGCAGCAAGUGGAGCGCUUGAAUAUUCUGGAAGGCAUACUCCUAGUUCACUUUCAGUACUUGCUGGUAACGAUUCAAAGGCCGAAAGUCUAAGCCCCAGAGAGCGAGCUGCAGAGAGAGAACGUAUGGUUUUGGACAUAAAAGUUAAGCUUCAGGGAUUGUGGGUACGCCUUGUGAAUUUGGGACAAACUGAUGAUCCUCUUUCCUCCUUUGAAUAUGGAACCAUCCUUGCAUUGAUUGAGUCAGAUGCAGAAGGAAUUGGCGGUAGUGGCUUCGUUGAAUGUAUAAGAGAGCACAUUCAUUCAGGUUUGAACUGUCAAUUGUCAGAGGAGCAGUUUAUUGCAGUGAAAGAACUGCUGAAAACAGCAAUUAGUCGUGCUACAUCUAGGAAUGACAUGGCAACCGUCAGAGAUGCCCUGGAAGUUUCUGCAGAAAUGUACAAGAAGGACAUGAACAAUGUCUCAGACUAUGUUCAGCGACAUCUUCGUUCUCUUUCUAUCUGGGAGGAGCUACGUUUCUGGGAAGGAUACUUUGAUUGUCUACUGGACCGUUAUUCUAGCAAGUCAACCAAUUAUGCUACGUUGGUGACAACACAGCUCAUUGUUGUGGCUACUCACAUGGCUGGCCUUGGACUUCAUGACACUGAUGCAUGGUACAUGAUUGAAACAAUAGCUGGGAAAAAUAACAUUGGGUAUAAGCACAUUAUAAAACUCCGUGGAUAUUUGUCACAUGUCCGGCAUAUGUUUGUUGGUUACUGGGGAAUCCACUCAGUUAAGUUACAAUCCGCAACUACCUUGGGAUUGCCGUCCCCACGAGCACAGGAUGCAUCUGAUGAUGCUCAACAACCUGCUGAAGCAUCUGGUAUCGGAAGAAGCUGGGUACAGAGCAUGUUCACCAGGGAUACAUCAAUAAGAGCCAAGUCUUUCAGUCGCGUUGGCAAGUGGACCUCUGAUAAUAGCACUUUAGAUUCAAGCGAGAAUGGGACUCCUCGAAAACAAGAUCUGUCAGCAGCUGGACAAAAGAAACUGCAAACCAGCAUCCGUACUCUAAGGGGUCAUAAUGGGGCAGUUACCGCUCUACAUUGUGUGACGAAAAGAGAAGUGUGGGAUUUGGUUGGUGACCGAGAGGAUGCCGGUUUCUUUAUUAGUGGAAGCACAGACUGUACGGUUAAGAUCUGGGAUCCUAGCCUUCGUGGUGCUGAACUUAGGGCUACUCUGAAAGGGCACACAAGGACUGUAAGGGCAAUAAGUUCUGACCGAGGGAAGGUCGUAUCAGGAUCCGAUGAUCAUUCUAUUCUUGUAUGGGAUAAACAAACAACUCAACUACUUGAAGAGUUGAAGGGCCACAAUGCACAGGUCAGCUAUGUGCGCAUGCUUUCAGGUGAACGAGUCCUUACAGCUGCCCAUGAUGGGACUGUAAAGAUGUGGGAUGUAAGAACAGAUACUUGUGUUGCUACGGUAGGCCGCUGCUCCGGCGCUGUUCUUUGCAUGGAGUAUGACGACUCUACGGGAGUCUUAGCUGCUGCAGGCAGAGAUGCGGUUGCGAACAUUUGGGACGUUCGUGCUGGGAGGCAAAUGCACAAGCUUAUGGGACAUACGAAAUGGAUAAGAUCAAUUAGAAUGGUGGGAGACACGGUGAUUACAGGUAGUGAUGAUUGGACGGCACGAAUCUGGUCUGUUUCUAGAGGACAAUGUGAUGCAGUGCUAGCUUGCCAUGCUGGUCCAAUUCUAUGUGUGGAGUAUUCUUCAUCAGAUAAAGGGAUAAUAACAGGUUCAAGCGAUGGUCUCCUGCGGUUCUGGGAAAAUGAUGAUGGUGGCAUAAAGUGCAUUAAGAAUGUCACUAUCCAUACUGCUUCAAUAUUGUCCAUUGAUGCCGGGGAACACUGGUUAGGAGUAGGGGCAGCCGAUAAUUCAAUGUCCCUCUUUCACCGUCCUCAAGAGAGACUAGGUGGCUUCUCUAGUGCUGGUUCAAAGAUUGCUGGAUGGCAGCUCUACAGAACACCUCAGAAAACAGCUGCAAUGGUACGAUGUGUGGCCUCUGACCUUGAAAGGAAAAGGAUUUGUAGUGGUGGACGCAAUGGGUUGCUUCGACUGUGGGAUGCUACGAUAAACAUCUAGGUUUUUAUAAUUGUACUUGCCUUGACGGUUUCAGUGGAUGAUCAAGAAGGCUUGUGGUUGGGCUGGUGACCUCCGUCUCACGUGAUUGCAGUGAGCAAUGGAACUUCCAAGUUUCAUUGAAGAUCGAGGAACGUAGUGUCGGACAAUAUAAUUAUGUCAUCCAGAAAAAGUCUUCUCUCUGCUAGUUGAACUGUGUCCUGUAGACUUCCUUUUCCACUCAUUUGCUCUUUGAUCGUGAUACUAUUACUUAGGUUCCUAUAUUUUGAAUGGAUGGUGGAGCGUAGGUAAAACAACAAACAACAAGUCCAGUGAAAUUUUACAUGCGGGGUUUCGGGAGGGUAAUGUGUACGCAGACCUUAUCCCUACCUUAUGAAAGAGGUGAUGUUGUUUCAUA
RNA transcript from Nicotiana attenuata, 4301 nucleotides. It is a transcript of the gene named DENN domain and WD repeat-containing protein SCD1, with no coding region annotated. NCBI's taxonomy places the organism in Eukaryota, Viridiplantae, Streptophyta, Magnoliopsida, Solanales, Solanaceae. The record is from RefSeq and is a predicted model, not a curated record. The transcript has 32 exons.